GCCGCUUCUCAUUCAGCCACAGCCCAAACAAAUAGGGCCUUAGUAUUGUACGUUCCUGGACCCACAGGCCGCGCCGUCCGCAGAUGCAUCCCUGUCCACCAGGUUGCGUCCUCUAUUUUGGGGGAAAAGGGGAUCGGGACCAGGGGAGCAAGUGGAGUUGGCGGGCGGCAGCGGCGGAGAGCUUCUCAGAUUUGCGACGGCGCAGGCAUGGCUAUGGAUUUUCCCGUCUCUCCGGUAGACAAGCUGCCAAUCUUCCUCGACGAGGAGGCAAGCGCUGCGGGCCUAAUGGAGUUGAUUGGUGCCGCUAGCCGCGGAGACGAUGAAUCGGCCAAUGGAUCCAGGGGGCUGUGGUCGGCGGAUUUGGCCAUGGGUCAUACGGGCAGAUGCUGAACGAAGGGAUGUCCAGCGAGGAGAGAACUGUAGCUGGUGGUGGCGCCGCCAUGUCUGGGUUCAGCGAGAGCGAGAGGGACAAUGAAGAAGCUCUUGACUGCUCAAUCAACAGGCAAGGUCGAUCCGCAAGCAGGGGCGGAGCCAGAAAAUUUAGCCAUUGGGUUCAUUUGUUGACUUUGCUGUGAAGAUUUGAUAUAAAUUAAUUAAGUAAAAACAGGUGUAUCCCGUGUUGAAAACACCCACGCAAGAUAGGCUACCCCAGCAUAAUAAUUCUGCAAGGAAGCUGGUUGGAACUCAGGAUCUCCAGGCCACAGUGGAGAGACUCUACCACUUUGUUAAGUGUAAAAUUUAACUUCACAUCAUCUUACAACAAAGAUUAUAACAUUAAAAAUAACUUAAUGUCUGGAAAUAUGAUAUCACUUAUCAUAUAUCAUGUUACAUAAAUACCAAAGAGUGCAUGACAUACCUGUUACAUGUUAUAGCCAGUUCAGGACCAAACGACUUCAUAGCUUCAGAUAAAGCUUCUCAUCUUCCUGUAAGCAUUGAAGAAAAUGACCAUUAAUUUCUAAUGACUCACUCUCAGUCUUGUCCUUAUUGUUAUCCCUAAAAAGAUAGCAGCAAUAACAAAAGGUCGUACGCAUCUUGUCACUAUACUAAGUCAACAACCAUAUUCAUAAAAUCAUUCCAGAUUAAAUCUUGGUGAAGCAUCUCCAACUCCAAUGAAGCUCUAGGAAUAAUCACAGGUGGUAUCCCGUAAUGUCUUAUGGUUAGAUAUGUUCGCCUAGUCUCAUAUUGGUUCUUAGAAUUUUUUGAUCAGCCGGAUUGCUUGCAACAUCAGUAUCUGAUGCACUUUGCCUGAGUCUAACAACUGGACUUGAUGUGUCUGUAUCGUUAUCUAUAUCUGGAAAUUGAUUUUUAGUUGAGAAAUAUCGUUCCACAGUAUAGAUCAAUGAACGUAUAAGGGAUAAGCAAUUAGAAAACUAGGGCAAACAUCAAUAUUAUAGUGCCAUACGAGACUAGAGAGGAGAUGUGGAGAUUGUGAUUCAUUACCACGAAUUUGGAUUAGUUCUUGGCCUGUCGCUCAAUAACUGGCAUAUGGCGACCAAUCCACGACGGAACGCCGAGCAAGAGAGACGAGAUUGUUGAGUUAUUUUGGGAAGUCAUUGAGCGAUCAGGAAAGACGAGAGGCGGCUGCCGAGUAUUCGUACAGGGAAUUGGCGAACGAACAGACCUAGGCACUCUACUUGGGCUUUUGGGCUUUCGAUUGGCUAGUACGUGGGUGGGUGGUGGGAUCCUGUUUUUCUUUCCUUCCUUUUUCUGUACGUGCGAUCCUGGUUUGAUGGGUUCAGCGAUGAUUUUCUGUUGGGUUCAUACCAAAGAAAUACUCGUACGCACGUAGGGCCACGGGGAAAUCGUUGGGUUCAGCUGAACCCAACGGCUCAACGCUGGCUCCGCCCCUAUCCGCAAGCCCCUAGCUGGGCAAAGAGGUAAAAAGCAUCUGCCUACAGUAAGUUGUUUGGGUGCAGUUGAUAAUCUGAAAAAUUGAGAAUGGCGAGCAGUUUAGUCUAGCUUAGCGUAAAAUGCAAUGGUUCAGUACAGCUAGGUUAGUCCUGAUUAAUGUGAGUGAAAUGUAGCUAUCCAUUUUGAUAGCAGGCCGGUAGGCGUCUUGCCAUGUCUUAUAGUCUGUCAUUUUUUUCAUGAUUUGUUGUAUCCUAAGAUGAAAAUGGAAGUACCGGAACUUGCAUAUUUAAUUGUUGUGGAAAAUCACAAGGAAUAAAAUUUGGUCUAUUCUUUUUUUGUUUGCAGAGUAAGAGUCGGCAAUCAACCGCCGGACAGAGCUCCAUGCCCGGAAAGGGUAGGCGCGCUCGAGCAGACUAUGAGGGGUUGUGCUGGUAAAUUAGGCGGCCAUGUAGUUGAGCCUGCCAUUGGAUUAACUUUCGAUUCUUUGGAUGAAGCAUAUGAUUUUUAUAACCUUUAUUCGUGGGAGCAUGGGUUCGGUAUUCGGUACGGCAAAAGCCGCCUGAAUGCAGAGAAGACAAAGUGUAUGCAAGAAGUGGUUUGCGGCUAUUCGGGCAAACCGACAAAGGAGAACAGCAGGUCAUGUCGCUGCGAGUGUCCAGCCAUGAUCAAACUGCUUAGAACAUCGGAUAAUGGCUGGUACAUUACAGAACACAGGGCGAACCACAAACAUGGUUUGUCGCAGACAUGCGGGAAGAAGGUGAGCAUGUAGAUGUGUACACAAAGGAUCUGGUCAAGCAGCUUCGGCAGAACAAUGUCAAUGUAACAAAAGUGUACAGUAUAAUAUCAAGUUUUUUGGGGAACGUCGAUAAGGUUCCAUUUACCAAAAGGACACUCGCAACUUAUGCGGCAAGAUUAACAAGGAGCAAGCAGAGGAUGAUGUGAGGAAGACAAUUGAUGUAUUUGCUGCCGCUAAAGACCAAGGGUUCGUUUUCAGGGUGCAGAAUAGUAGCCAUGUUUUUUUUGGAGACGUAGAUAAGGUUCCAUUCACAAAAAGAAUUCCUAGAAUCUGUGUUGGCUCCCUCAAUCAGCUGGCCGAGCUCUGGUGUGCUCACAUCAGGCUUAGCAUGGAGCGCUGACAGCUCCACCUUCUACAUGUGGAAUGGUGAAGAUAGCCAUGGCUUGAGGGGGAGAAUGCUGUCACUGAAUCAUAUCUGCAAGCGGACCAGGAGGUAAUCGUCUUGGGCCAGGACGAUUCAGGCUAGGUUCGCGAGAUUCAGGAUAGCUGUGAAAUACUGCACUUUGCGCUUCAGGCUGAGCAGAGUUAUUUUGAUUUUAUGGACGCAAGUGCCACCGCCGGCGGAGUUCGAUCUACACAAAGCACUCGCGGAAGCUGCAGCGGUAGAUCAAGACGACGUUGAGCACGCCGAAGAAGUUGUAGCACAGCAUGAUCCCGAUGUCGAGCCACAUCUUGUCGAGGCGGAGAAGCUGGUUAUUGAAGAUUAUGAGGAGGUUGUGAUGGUUUGGGUGACAAACGAAGAAUCAGAGAGCGAAGAAGAAAUGUCUAGCCCCAAGCGUCGUCACGUGUGCUAGACUAGGAAACAAAUCAAUCGACCAGUUGGCUAGGUUCUUACAAUUAAAUGCAUGGUUUUUGUGUUCAUGCCACGGUGUAUUUUGUUGGGCUUUUCUUAGUGUCCACUGCUUGGUGGGGCUGUCCUAAAAAAGGUUGACACUCAAGCGUGGCAGAUGAAUUAGCUUUGCUAUUAAUGUUGAACUAUGUCAUUUCGCAUGAACUGAAUCGUGCAGAGGAAGGCGAUGGUUUGGGAGGGGGGAUUGGGUAGUACUAAUAAAUAUCUAGUGUUGACCGUCGCCGUUUAACUUCCAGUGGUCCAGUUGUGACGCGCCGUUUGAACAGAUCCGUCCAGCUCUAUCUGGACUGCAGCGGCGUUACACUGGAGAUUCGCUUCCGUACAACUGAUUGGUGGGCCAGGCCUUGUACUAUUUAAUUGAAAUACAUAAGUGAAUACUUGCCAGUCUG
Molecule: long non-coding RNA, 3886 nt
Organism: Aegilops tauschii subsp. strangulata
Lineage: Eukaryota; Viridiplantae; Streptophyta; Magnoliopsida; Poales; Poaceae
Source: RefSeq, a predicted model, not a curated record